Molecule: ribosomal RNA, 264 nt
Filed under: Triticum aestivum (bread wheat)
Lineage: Eukaryota; Viridiplantae; Streptophyta; Magnoliopsida; Poales; Poaceae
Description: partial small subunit ribosomal RNA
Source: RNAcentral
CAGGAGCAGCGCCUCCUGUCCCCCGCUGAAUUUCAGUUACGCAAACAGCUGAAACUCCAGGUCUUGGGGCUGGCGGCGAUUGAGCGGGCAAGGAGGAGGCAGGCAUCACGCGUGCUCUGGCUGAAGGCGGGCGAUGCCAGCACGCGGUUCUUCCACGCAGAGAUCUGCUCUUGGAGAAGGCGCAAUUUCAUUCAUUCACUCACCACGGCCAGCCGCACUGCUACUGCUCACGAGGACAAGGCCAACAUUAUCCAUGAUCACUUC